Molecule: ribosomal RNA, 490 nt
Filed under: uncultured bacterium
Lineage: Bacteria
Description: partial 16S ribosomal RNA
Rfam family: Bacterial small subunit ribosomal RNA
Source: RNAcentral
AUUGAACGCUGGCGGCAGGCCUAACACAUGCAAGUCGAACGGUAACAGGAAGAAGCUUGCUUCUUUGCUGACGAGUGGCGGACGGGUGAGUAAUGGCUGGGAAACUGCCUGAUGGAGGUGGAUAACGACUGGAAACGGUAGCUAAUACCGCAUAACGUCGCAAGACCAAAUAGGGGGUCCUUCGGGCCUGUUGCCAUCGGAUGGGCCCAGAUGGGAUUAGCUAGUAGGUGGGGUAACGGCUCACCUAGGCGACGAUCCCUAGCUGGUCUGAGAGGAUGACCAGCCACCCUGGAACUGAGACACGGUCCAGACCCCUACGGGAGGCAGUAGUGGGGAAUAUUGCACAAUGGGAGCAAGCCUGAUGCAGCCCUGCCGAGUGUAUGAAGAAGGCCUUCGGGUUGUAAAGUACUUUCAGCGGGGAGGAAGGGAGUAAAGUUAAUACCUUUACUCAUUGACGUUACCCGCAGAAGAAGCCCCGGCUAACUCCGUG